AACUUAAAUACAAAAUAUAACAUUUUAACAACUUUAUUCUCACAAAACAAAAAAUCAAAAUGAAGACUACAAAAUUUCACUAACCACCCCAGUUAAAAAAUAACCAACACCUUCCAACUUAUAGAAUUAAUUAUUUCAAAAGAUUUUAGGGUCUUCUCGUCUUCUAAAAAAAUUUUAACUUUUUCAUCAAAAAAUAAAAUUCAAAACCUAAUAAAACCGAGACAACCUCAAUCCUCAUUUAUUCAUUCAUACAAUUUUACAAUCAAUAAACUAAUUAUUAUCUAACCUUUGCAA
This 294-nucleotide ribosomal RNA is filed under the name Facetotecta sp. RNAcentral describes it as "partial large subunit ribosomal RNA". The record is from RNAcentral. Lineage: Eukaryota; Metazoa; Arthropoda; Thecostraca.